GACAGAGGAGGCAACCGCUGUUAGGAAACAUUGGGCUGAAAGCGCGCGUAGGCGGCCUUGUAAGUGUCUUGUGAUAUCCCACGGCUCACCCGUGGAACUGCAGGGCAAACUGCAAGACUUGAGGUCGGUAGAGGCGCCUGGAACUCUAGGUGGAGCGGUGAAAUGCGUAGAUAUCUAGGGGAACGCCGGAGGCGAAAGCGGGGCGCUGGGCCGAUUCUGACGCUGAUGCGCGAAAGCGUGGGGAUCAAACAGG
Molecule: ribosomal RNA, 253 nt
Filed under: uncultured bacterium
Lineage: Bacteria
Description: partial 16S ribosomal RNA
Rfam family: Bacterial small subunit ribosomal RNA
Source: RNAcentral